This 694-nucleotide ribosomal RNA is filed under the name Escherichia coli. RNAcentral describes it as "bacterial SSU rRNA". It matches the Rfam family "Bacterial small subunit ribosomal RNA", at positions 93 to 783 of the family's 1533-position model. The record is from RNAcentral. Lineage: Bacteria; Pseudomonadati; Pseudomonadota; Gammaproteobacteria; Enterobacterales; Enterobacteriaceae.
GAGUGGCGGACGGGUGAGUAAUGUCUGGGAAACUGCCUGAUGGAGGGGGAUAACUACUGGAAACGGUAGCUAAUACCGCAUAACGUCGCAAGACCAAAGAGGGGGACCUUCGGGCCUCUUGCCAUCGGAUGUGCCCAGAUGGGAUUAGCUAGUAGGUGGGGUAACGGCUCACCUAGGCGACGAUCCCUAGCUGGUCUGAGAGGAUGACCAGCCACACUGGAACUGAGACACGGUCCAGACUCCUACGGGAGGCAGCAGUGGGGAAUAUUGCACAAUGGGCGCAAGCCUGAUGCAGCCAUGCCGCGUGUAUGAAGAAGGCCUUCGGGUUGUAAAGUACUUUCAGCGGGGAGGAAGGGAGUAAAGUUAAUACCUUUGCUCAUUGACGUUACCCGCAGAAGAAGCACCGGCUAACUCCGUGCCAGCAGCCGCGGUAAUACGGAGGGUGCAAGCGUUAAUCGGAAUUACUGGGCGUAAAGCGCACGCAGGCGGUUUGUUAAGUCAGAUGUGAAAUCCCCGGGCUCAACCUGGGAACUGCAUCUGAUACUGGCAAGCUUGAGUCUCGUAGAGGGGGGUAGAAUUCCAGGUGUAGCGGUGAAAUGCGUAGAGAUCUGGAGGAAUACCGGUGGCGAAGGCGGCCCCCUGGACGAAGACGGACGCUCAGGUGCGAAAGCGUGGGGAGCAAACAGGAUUAGAU